RNAcentral lists this long non-coding RNA (390 nucleotides) under Triticum aestivum (bread wheat). Its description in RNAcentral is "long non-coding RNA (TAES_LNC020389)". Lineage: Eukaryota; Viridiplantae; Streptophyta; Magnoliopsida; Poales; Poaceae. The record is from RNAcentral.
CAUCAUCAAGCCCGGCUGCGUCAACACCGACCCCAUCUUCCCCAACAACAAGCUCACCGGCACCGACGUCGGGUACGCACAGUCGCACACACAUAUGUCAGCGAACUUGUCACGUGCAUGGCUCUCCUUGUACUAAUGGGGCUAAUCAAGUGAUGUCUCCGCGUGUUGGAAACCUAAGGUACCCCGGUGGUCUGUGGUUUGACCCGCUCGGCUACGGCACCGGCUCGCCCGAGAAGCUCAAGGAGCUGCGCACCAAGGAGAUCAAGAACGGCCGCCUCGCCAUGCUCGCCGUCAUGGGCGCGUGGUUCCAGGCCGAGUACACCGGCACCGGCCCCAUCGACAACCUCUUCGCUCACCUCGCCGACCCCGGCCACGCCACCAUCUUCCGGG